GAUGAACGCUAGCGGCAGGCCUAACACAUGCAAGUCGAGGGGCAGCUCAGAAACAGCAAUGUUUUGGUGGCGACCGGCGGACGGGUGCGUAGCGCGUAUGCAACCUACCUUUAACAGGGGGAUAACGGAGAGAAAUUUCCACUAAUACCCCAUAACAUCGAUCAAGGCAUCUUGAUUGGUUGAAAACUCCGGUGGUUAAAGAUGGGCAUGCGUUGUGUUAGGUAGUUGGUGAGGUAAUGGCUCACCAAGCCUACGAUACGUAGGGGGACUGAGAGGUUAGCCCCCCACACUGGUACUGAGACACGGACCAGACUCCUACGGGAGGCAGCAGUGAGGAAUAUUGGUCAAUGGGGGCAACCCUGAACCAGCCAUGCCGCGUGCAGGAAGACGGCUCUAUGAGUUGUAAACUGCUUUUAAACAGGGAUAAAGCACAGUAUGUAUACUGUGUUGAAGGUACUGUAAGAAUAAGGAUCGGCUAACUCCGUGCCAGCAGCCGCGGUAA
Molecule: ribosomal RNA, 502 nt
Filed under: uncultured bacterium
Lineage: Bacteria
Description: partial 16S ribosomal RNA
Rfam family: Bacterial small subunit ribosomal RNA
Source: RNAcentral